AGUGCUGAUUGAUUGCAGCUGCUUGCUGCCGCCGGAGUGACGCGUGCAGGAAAUGAGCGGCCGUGGACGUGUCCCGAGGUGAGCUCCGCGGGGCUCAUUGAUGAGUGCGCAUUGGCAUGCGCCCGGGCCGUGACAGGAGAGGCAGUACGCACACUGGGCUGAAUGCUUCUCCCAGCACUGAUCCCACACGGGGCAACGAUGCCAGGACAAGGACUCUUCACCAUGUUGUCAACGUACGCGUUGACGCCUAAAGCGUAACACACGCCUUGUUCUCCUAUGUUGACCAGCAUCACAACAUCCCCAAAGUGUAACUCCCCAUCCAUGGUGACGGUCAGGUCCACCUGCACAUGGACAAACAGACUCAGGAUGUGGUGCUUGAGGAAGUCAACUUUCUGGGCAGCGAGCUCGCCCCUUUCCCUUUUGCUCAAGUAUUCUUUCCUCACAUCCUGUGGGCACAUCAAUAUUUAAGUGGCACUCAUGUUGUAAGCAAUGAUACAUACAGUAAUUAUACAUUAAAAAAUAAAGAAAUGCCACAGCAAA
Nerophis lumbriciformis (worm pipefish) is the source of this 540-nucleotide long non-coding RNA. RefSeq lists it as uncharacterized. NCBI's taxonomy places the organism in Eukaryota, Metazoa, Chordata, Actinopteri, Syngnathiformes, Syngnathidae. The record is from RefSeq and is a predicted model, not a curated record.